This is a long non-coding RNA of Hordeum vulgare subsp. vulgare (domesticated barley), 2566 nucleotides long. RefSeq lists it as uncharacterized. Lineage: Eukaryota; Viridiplantae; Streptophyta; Magnoliopsida; Poales; Poaceae. The record is from RefSeq and is a predicted model, not a curated record. The transcript has 12 exons.
AUGUAUUCUUGUUACAUUUAUCGUUUACGUGGACACUAGACAUGUUGCUGCUUCUCUUAUCCUGACUGAGACUAGCUAAUUCUCCUUGUUUUGAAGAGCAGUGUCGAGUGUAGAUCAAAAUGCUUGUGCCCAGCCCCAGUGUGUGUUAACCCCAUUGGGGUCAGAGGGGGUGAGCACACCACAUUCUGCGAUGUCUCUGAUGUGUACAAAGCAGUUGAGUCCAGCGCUGAGCCAGGAGGGCAGCGAGGUACCAGUGAUACACCUGACAAAGCAGAGUUGGUGCCACAGUCACAGAUUGUGCAGCCAAGGGAUACUUCCCCAUCGGCAGUCAACAUGGACUUCGUCAAUUGUUUUGAGGGGUGCUGGUGCAUGACGGAUGGAUGCAACGACUGGCGCUGCAUUUGCUUCGCGAGCAAUGUCGAGUGUAGCUCAAAAUGCUUGUGCCUAGACCCAGUGUGUGUUAAUCCCAUUGGGGUCAGAGGGGGUGAGCACACCACAUUCGCUGUCUCCGAUGUGUACAAAGCAGUUGAGUCCAACGCUGAGCUAGGAGGGCAGCGAGGUACCAGUGGUACACCUGGCGAAGCAGGGUUGGUGCCACAGUCACAGAUUGUGCAGCCAAGGGAUACCUCCCCACCAGCAGUCAUUUUUGACUUCCUCGAUUAUGACCUGAGGUGCUGGUGCAAAACGAAUGGAUGCAACGACUGGCACUGCCCUUGCUUCGUGAGCAAUGUCGGGUGUAGCUCAAAAUGCUUGUGCCCAGCCCCAAUGUGUGUUAAUCCCAUUGGGGUCAGAGGGGGUGAGCACACCACAUUCUGCGCUGUCUCUGAUGUGUACAAAGCAGUUGAGUCCAACGCUGAGCCAGGAGGGCGGCAAGGUACGGGUGGCACAAGUAACAUACCUGACGAAGCAGAGCCGGAUUCAGAGCCAAAGCGACAGGCUGUGCAGCCAAGGUGCUGCUGCAUCAAUACCAAAUGCCUCCAUGGGUAUGCACAGACCCGCUGAAUUAUCUGAACCGGAUCCAUCCAGUCAACUAGUCAAUUUGUAUACAGAUUUUCCAGUGCCAUCUAACCAUUGCUUGUCAAUAAAUAUGCUAUGUGCAGCUACUGCGUUUGUUUCAACGGGAACUGGCUUUGCUCUGAGGACUGCGUUUGCGAGGGCUGCCGGAACAUCGGGAGCAACGAGAAGGAGGGCCUCAUGCUAUACAAGGAGUUCGUGAAGAGGAAGUUGGAUAUCGACUACAAGUUUCCCUUUGAGCCUAUUCCAAAGAGAAAGCUGGGCGCUGUUCCUUUAGCUAAGGGCAACCGGUGCCGUUGCACGGUAAUUAUCUGGAUGCUUGACAUGUACCUGCGUGACGCGCAAGACUGGGUGCACCUUAAACUGCAAGUGCAAGGAUUGCCGUAAUCCCUUUGGGGCCAGAGAGGCUGGUGUGUCCAACGCUGGUCCAGGACAAACCACACCACCAUCAAGCACUGGAACGAAACCCAACCGAUGCCAUUGCAAGGUAAACAGAUGCAAAAAAGCGGGGCUGUUACUGUGUGAAGCACAAGGUCAGGUGCACCUCAUAUUGCAAGUGCCUAGGGUGUGAUAAUCCCAAGGGGGCCAAAGGGAGUGAGUCGAACACCGGAUCAGGAAGUGCUGAUGGCGUAGGCAACAUACCUGACGAAGCAGUGCAGACGACCACACCAUCAAUUACUGAACCAGGUCAGGUUGAUACUAGCAGCAUGCCAUAUUGUCCGGAUCAACCCCUACGACCUAUCAGCGAGUGGCCAGGAGGAUUCCAUUGUAUGUGUGUUGGGAGUUAGGGCCUGUUCGGAGUCCCUCCGCUCCCGGAGCUGACGGAGUUUCAGUUAAAAACUGCGGAGCAAACAAAAAGUCGAACAACGGAUCAGGAGGUGCUGAUAGCGUAGGCAACAUACCCGACGAAGCAGUGCAGACGACCACACCAUCAAUUACUGAACCAGGGCAGGUUGAUACUAGCAGCAUGGCAUAUUGCCCGGAUCAGCCCUCACGGCCUAUGAGCGAGUGACCAGGAUUCCAGUGGUGACAGUAGGUUCCAGACAUACCAGAGCAUGAUGCAAGUCACCUGACAUACUUACCAUCCUCAAGACAGUGCCCACUCUCCUCCUGUUCAGAUUCAUGCAUGUUCCUUGUAACGAUUACUCGAAGCAAGCAUGGCGAGAACUCCAUGAUCCUCCGGACAUCCUCGGCGUUGCAAAGUUAGCCUCAGAUGCUUCAGUUGACCUAGAUCCAAUCAGAGCAACACACUUUAGAACAUACAUACAUACAUACAUACAUACAUACAUACAUACAUACAACAUAGUAGUUGCAGUCCAUACACUGCCUGGAAGGGGGUGCUUCAGUUCGUUCUUAUACUACAUAGUCAUUCUCACAAAGGUUUUUCUCUGAUAUCCUAGGAAGAUUCUUUGAAACCCAAAAGUCAGCGGUUGAUGAGAGCACUGGCAGCAUGAAUAGUAUGAUCUGGUAUAGAUGGUUAUUUUUUGCAUUACAAAACAAGCACUGGUUACAUUACAUAAUUCUGAUAAAUAUGCUCUCACGCCUUUCACCA